Molecule: long non-coding RNA, 516 nt
Filed under: Equus caballus (horse)
Lineage: Eukaryota; Metazoa; Chordata; Mammalia; Perissodactyla; Equidae
Description: lncRNA (ENSECAG00000044417.1)
Source: RNAcentral
CUCAAACACAUUAAACCGUUAAUGACUAACCCAGAGCUGAGAAUUAGGUAGUUGGAGCUCACAUCCAAACCAGGCAGGGAAGGGUUAAUCGUUCAGCUUUUUGGAGCAGCUCUAGAAUCAAAAUGGGUUGGAGCCAAGGCUGGGGAGAUGCGACCAACUGCUGAGACCAAGAAGGAUUCCAGAGGACGGACCAGCAGCAACAUUCAUGAUUAGAGGCUUGGUGCUUUGAGCCUUAUGAUGUCAGCCCAACAUCCAGCCUGACACCUAAGAAGGAGCAGGGGUUAGAGAUUGAGUUCAACCUCAUGGCCAAUGAUUCAAUCAGUCAUGCCUACAUGAUGAAAACCCAAUGAAGAACUGGACACCAGAUCAUGGGUGAGCUUCCCUGGUUAACAUAAUGCUGGGUGUAUAGUUACACAUCGACAUGCUGGGAGGGUGACAUCCUGAUCUCAUGGGGAGAGGACACCAAAGCUUAUUAUCUGAGACCCUCCCAGAACUUGCCCUAUGUGUCCUUUCUUU